GACUGCAUAGCCUAGUGGUAAAGGUGUCACAUUGACCUUGUGGUUUGGCUUACAUGCUGAAGUCCCAGGUUCAAAUUCUGAUCAAGUUA
Molecule: non-coding RNA, 89 nt
Organism: Cronartium quercuum f. sp. fusiforme G11
Lineage: Eukaryota; Fungi; Basidiomycota; Pucciniomycetes; Pucciniales; Coleosporiaceae
Source: the annotation of a GenBank genome assembly